CCAUAAUAUCCCUGCAUUGAACUGUCGUCAGAUGGUUGCAGUUUUCUAAUCUGUAUUUUGUCUGAAGGAAAUGAGAAGCAGAAUUUAUCCUUCCUCCCCUGUUAAUUUUAAUCCUUUUGCAUGGAGCUGGAUUCAUGCUGCAGGCAGGGCAUUAAACCUGAAACAAGGUGGAUCCAAAUGGAAAAAAAUGUAGAUGAUUACUGGCCAUCUGCCAAAAAGACGCUUGGGGACGUGAAAAUUCUGGAAUCACUGAAGGUUCAUUUUGAUCAAAUAUUCAUAUUCUGAGCCAUGUGUCAACAAUUUUACUGUUUAAAGACAAGAAGGUUGUGGAGGGGAAUACUGACACCAUCCUUCACAGGGGAGUUUACUUUCAGACUUCUUACAUGAAGGAGAAUAUGUUGUUAAAGAAUGGAGCAAACAUUUAAGAUGUGUUCAAAUGAAGGUGCAAAAGCACUGGA
Molecule: long non-coding RNA, 458 nt
Organism: Lagopus leucura (white-tailed ptarmigan)
Lineage: Eukaryota; Metazoa; Chordata; Aves; Galliformes; Phasianidae
Exons: 3
Source: RefSeq, a predicted model, not a curated record